This 253-nucleotide ribosomal RNA is filed under the name uncultured bacterium. RNAcentral describes it as "partial 16S ribosomal RNA". It matches the Rfam family "Bacterial small subunit ribosomal RNA", at positions 524 to 776 of the family's 1533-position model. The record is from RNAcentral.
UACGGAGGGAGCUAGCGUUGUUCGGAAUUACUGGGCGUAAAGCGUACGUAGGCGGUUAUUCAAGUCAGAGGUGAAAGCCCGGGGCUCAACCCCGGAACGGCCUUUGAAACUAGAUAGCUAGAGUCUUGGAGAGGUUAGUGGAAUUCCGAGUGUAGAGGUGAAAUUCGUAGAUAUUCGGAAGAACACCAGUGGCGAAGGCGACUAACUGGACAAGUACUGACGCUCAGGCACGAAAGCGCGGGGAGCGAACAGG